Long non-coding RNA from Colossoma macropomum (tambaqui), 957 nucleotides. RefSeq lists it as uncharacterized. The transcript has 2 exons. The record is from RefSeq and is a predicted model, not a curated record. NCBI's taxonomy places the organism in Eukaryota, Metazoa, Chordata, Actinopteri, Characiformes, Serrasalmidae.
AGUAUAUGCCAGAGGGAGAAACUCUCUCCCACAGAAACCACUUUUCUCAGCUGCCUGAGGGCUGGAGUUCCCCAGCCCUUUUGCUUUGUUACAAGAUGAUGUAAUCCUUAUUGCCCACCUACCAGCAAGCUUGGCAUGCCCUCACACAACGCAACGCAUCUACCGGAGGCUGUGCAUUGGUGGAACCACUCUGGCGCUUGAUCAGUCAGAGCCAAGUGAGCGAGCUAACUAAUCUGAGCGUACUGGGCUCAUCAGGAAGGAGGGGCUUAAAGACACAGGAGCUCUAACAGAGCGUUUCAGACAGAGGAUACAUUUUCCUCACAUCUCUGACAAAGAAGACCAACACUGAGAAAAAACAGAGGAAGAAGUGAUGGGCUGUGAAUCUGACAGUUCUCUCACUCAUCACGGAUUUAACUCUAAAAGGAGAGAUCGGUAACAUUAGCAGUGUGAUAUCAGUAAUGUUAGUGUUCAGGCAUUAUGGCAUGGACAUAUGCACAUUGAGUUAUCUGUGUCCUGUUUCUUGUGUCCACGUAUGUCCACAUAAAAUGUCCACAGCUUGGCUCUAUUCCAGCUACCAGCACAUCUGAGUCUGGUAUUAAUUGUUUGACAGCUGAUCAUUACCUGGCUCAAGUAUGUUAUGAUUGCUGCUGGGGUUCAGACCUCUGUAUUACUCUGUUGGUCAGUUUUUCUUUUUAGUCCAUAUGAAUUCGUCUUAAAAUUGUUUCCCAUCAUUUAUAAUUGUUCAUAAUACUAUAUUGCUAAUAACUUUAGCCUAACUUAUAUACGGAGCAACAGCAGACCUUAAAAUCAGUGUAUUUAUUGCAGUAUGUUUCAAAUUUCUACCCAAAGUCAGUUAACAUGUUUUUCCCCAUCUGUAGAACAUAUCAAGUGUGAUGACGCUAUUGUACUAUGCAUAUACACAGUUGUAAAAACAAUAAACAAUAACUGUAAUCUAUA